RNAcentral lists this ribosomal RNA (435 nucleotides) under uncultured bacterium. Its description in RNAcentral is "partial 16S ribosomal RNA". It matches the Rfam family "Bacterial small subunit ribosomal RNA", at positions 29 to 507 of the family's 1533-position model. The record is from RNAcentral.
AGCGAACGCUGGCGGCAGGCUUAACACAUGCAAGUCGAACGGGCAUCUUCGGAUGUCAGUGGCAGACGGGUGAGUAACACGUGGGAACGUACCCUUCGGUUCGGAAUAACUCAGGGAAACUUGAGCUAAUACCGGAUACGCCCUUUUGGGGAAAGGUUUACUGCCGAAGGAUCGGCCCGCGUCUGAUUAGCUUGUUGGUGGGGUAACGGCCUACCAAGGCGACGAUCAGUAGCUGGUCUGAGAGGAUGAUCAGCCACACUGGGACUGAGACACGGCCCAGACUCCUACGGGAGGCAGCAGUGGGGAAUAUUGGACAAUGGGCACAAGCCUGAUCCAGCCAUGCCGCGUGAGUGAUGAAGGCCUUAGGGUUGUAAAGCUCUUUUGUCCGGGACGAUAAUGACGGUACCGGAAGAAUAAGCCCCGGCUAACUUCGUG